GAUGAACGCUGGCGGCGUGCCUAAUACAUGCAAGUCGAGCGAACAGAUGAGGAGCUUGCUCCUCUGACGUUAGCGGCGGACGGGUGAGUAACACGUGGAUAACCUACCUAUAAGACUGGGAUAACUUCGGGAAACCGGAGCUAAUACCGGAUAAUAUAUUGAACCGCAUGGUUCAAUAGUGAAAGACGGUUUUGCUGUCACUUAUAGAUGGAUCCGCGCCGCAUUAGCUAGUUGGUAAGGUAACGGCUUACCAAGGCAACGAUGCGUAGCCGACCUGAGAGGGUGAUCGGCCACACUGGAACUGAGACACGGUCCAGACUCCGACGGGAGGCAGCAGUAGGGAAGCUUCCGCAAUGGGCGAAAGCCUGACGGAGCAACGCAGCGUGAGUGAUGAAGGUCUUCGGAUCGUAAAACGCUGUUAUGAGGGAAGAACAAAUGUGUAAGUAACUAUGCACGUCUUGACGGUACCGAAUCAGAAAGCCACGGCUAACUACGU
RNAcentral lists this ribosomal RNA (496 nucleotides) under uncultured bacterium. RNAcentral describes it as "partial 16S ribosomal RNA". It matches the Rfam family "Bacterial small subunit ribosomal RNA", at positions 28 to 506 of the family's 1533-position model. The record is from RNAcentral.